GGCAAGAUGAUUACACUAGAAAGACUUUUGUUCAUGAAAAAAGAUCUAAGAAUUGAUUCUUAGCUAGAUAAUCGUGCUGAAAACAGCUGAUGUCUGAUUUGAGAAACAUGUAUACCUGUUCUCGUGCUUGAUUUUUUUUAUUAACCAUUUUCCUGGAUUACAAAUAAAUUCUUUAUGAAUAAUCUUUCAGAAUUUCCAGCUUGUUUGAUAGAUAUACUUUCCAUUUGUUAUAUUGAACAAAUCAACAAUGUACAGGUCUGUGCUUGGAAUUUAAAUUGCAGAAAUUGGUCUGUUGCAACUGUUUUUGUUGAUAACAAGAGGGAUUGUGCUUGACAGAGAGCUGACCACCCAUCUAGCACACUUGGUGUUGCAGCUGGUUCUUCAUUGCUUGCACUGAAAACCAUGCGACCCUGGAGCUGCUGGAUAUACAAUCAAGGAGGCAGUAUCUCUGGUUAGAAGCAUGAUUCCAGGACAGCGAGCUCUUGCUUUGCAACUUUUGGCUGUCGUACUUGAACAGGCUUUGUGCAAUUUACAACCACAAAAUGUAACUGGUUGCGAACUUGGUGUCGCUCAACAUGGUGAUGAUUCUGUUGAC
This is a long non-coding RNA of Nymphaea colorata (pocket water lily), 595 nucleotides long. RefSeq lists it as uncharacterized. The record is from RefSeq and is a predicted model, not a curated record. The transcript is spliced from 4 exons. Lineage: Eukaryota; Viridiplantae; Streptophyta; Magnoliopsida; Nymphaeales; Nymphaeaceae.